RNAcentral lists this transfer RNA (73 nucleotides) under archaeon. RNAcentral's name for it is "tRNA-Gln". It matches the Rfam family "tRNA". Rfam says of the family: Transfer RNA (tRNA) molecules are approximately 80 nucleotides in length. Their secondary structure includes four short double-helical elements and three loops (D, anti-codon, and T loops). Further hydrogen bonds mediate the characteristic L-shaped molecular structure. tRNAs have two regions of fundamental functional importance: the anti-codon, which is responsible for specific mRNA codon recognition, and the 3' end, to which the tRNAs corresponding amino acid is attached (by aminoacyl-tRNA synthetases). tRNAs cope with the degeneracy of the genetic code in two manners: having more than one tRNA (with a specific anti-codon) for a particular amino acid; and 'wobble' base-pairing, i.e. permitting non-standard base-pairing at the 3rd anti-codon position. The record is from RNAcentral.
AGCCCCUUAGUCUAGUGGUCAAGGACGCGAGCCUUUGGCGCUCGAAACCCCGGUUCAAAUCCGGGAGGGGCUA